AUGGCCUCCGCCGGAAGCUUCGGGAGGCUCUCUCUUCUCCUCGCGCUCUCGCUGUGCUCCGCGCUCGCAUCCACGGUCCCCGGCGAGGCUCCGAGGAGGUUCUGGAUCGAGGGCGACGCCUUCUGGAAGGACGGGGCACGGUUCCAGAUCGUCGGCGGCGACGUGCACUACUUCCGCAUUGUCCCCGAGUACUGGAAAGAUCGCCUUUUAAGGGCUAAGGCACUGGGCCUGAACACAAUUCAAACAUAUGUUCCUUGGAAUUUGCACGAGCCGGAACCACAGAGCUGGGAAUUCAAGGGUUUCGCUGACAUUGAAUCGUAUCUAAGACUUGCUCAAGAAUUAGAAAUGCUCGUCAUGCUUCGUGUAGGUCCAUAUAUUUGUGGAGAAUGGGAUUUAGGGGGAUUUCCACCAUGGUUGCUCACCAUAGAACCAGCCCUUAAACUGCGAUCAUCAGACUCAACCUAUCUUUUCUUGGUAGAGAGAUGGUGGAGAGUCUUGCUCCCAAAAGUAGCACCACUGUUAUACGAGAAUGGAGGUCCAAUUAUCAUGGUGCAGAUUGAAAAUGAAUUUGGUUCAUUUGGAGAUGACAAGAAUUACCUUCAUUACCUUGUUCAGUUGGCCAGACGAUAUCUGGGGAAUGACAUUGUUCUGUAUACAACUGAUGGGGGCACUACUAAUACCUUAAAGAAUGGAGCAAUUCUUCAAGAUGAUGUCUUCGCUGCUGUUGAUUUUUCAACUGGUGAUGAUCCAUGGCCAAUAUUCAGAUUACAGAAGAAAUAUAACUUACCGGGAAAAUCAGCCCCUUUAAGUGCGGAAUUUUAUACCGGAUGGCUAACACACUGGGGUGAGAGUAUUGCCACAACAACUGCCAGCAGCACAGCUAAAGCUCUUAAAAGUAUUCUAUGCCGCAAUGGUUCUGCUGUACUCUAUAUGGCUCAUGGAGGGACAAAUUUUGGGUUUUACAAUGGAGCAAAUACUGGUCAAACUGAAUUCGAGUAUAAGGCAGACCUCACAUCUUAUGAUUAUGAUGCGCCAAUUAAGGAGCAUGGAGACGUGCAUAAUCCCAAAUACAAAGCAUUGAGAAGAGUAAUACAUGAAUGCACUGGCACACCUCUGCAUCCACUUCCUGCCGACAUUGAAAGAGCAAGUUAUGGGCUUGUGAAAUUACAAAAGGUUGCUUCUUUCUUUGACAUAUUUGAUAAGAUCUGUGAUCCACUGAAAGUGGCUGUUUCAGAACAGCCUCUGUCUAUGGAACUGACAGGCCAGAUGUUUGGGUUUCUACUGUAUGUGUCGGAAUACCAAGGAAAAGGUCCUUACAGCAUCCUAUCAAUUCCAAAGGUACAUGACAGAGCCCAGGUGUUUGUGUCAUGCUCACUUGAUGACGUCAGAAAUCAAAUAUAUGCUGGCGUUAUUGAAAGAUGGUCUAGUAAAACCCUACAGAUACCAACCUUAAACUGCUCUUCUAAUAUCCGCUUAUCUAUCCUGGUAGAAAAUAUGGGCCGUGUAAAUUAUGGGCCAUACAUUUUUGACCAGAAGGGGAUAUUAUCUACUGUUGAAAUAGAUGGUGUGACUCUCCAUCACUGGAAAAUGUACCCGUUAUCGUUCAAUUUACUGGACAACCUUUCGAAAUUCCAACCAAUCCAGCAGAUCACUGAUGCCAGAGCUAGCAAAGUGUCCAGUCAUGGUGGUUCACAAACUAAGCUACGUGAUUUGUCAUUCUAUCUAAAUGGCAAUUCAGAAGAGCCAGAAUUUUAUGAAGGCCAUUUCCACAUUGACUCCAAUAGCACGAUAAAGGAUACAUUCAUAUCAUUCCGUGGUUGGAACAAAGGGGUUGCUUUUGUGAACAACUUCAACAUCGGAAGGUUCUGGCCGGUAAUGGGACCGCAGUGCGCUCUUUAUGUUCCUGCUCCAAUCCUCAGAUCUGGAGACAACAUUGUUGUAAUCUUCGAACUGCAUGUUCCAAAUCCUGAGCGUACUAUCAACUUGGUAAAAGAUCCAGAUUUCACGUGCGGUCCAAAUCGAUGA
Molecule: ribosomal RNA, 2025 nt
Filed under: Triticum aestivum (bread wheat)
Lineage: Eukaryota; Viridiplantae; Streptophyta; Magnoliopsida; Poales; Poaceae
Description: partial small subunit ribosomal RNA
Source: RNAcentral